RNAcentral lists this long non-coding RNA (1433 nucleotides) under Citrus x clementina. RNAcentral's name for it is "Citrus clementina (C. clementina) long non-coding RNA (CCLE_LNC002112)". The record is from RNAcentral. Lineage: Eukaryota; Viridiplantae; Streptophyta; Magnoliopsida; Sapindales; Rutaceae.
UUAAAAUAUGUAAGUAAACAUUGAAAUUAAAUGAAUGCAAAUUCCUCUCUUCCACUCUAAAAAAUAAACAUAUAAUAAAAGUAAUUCCACCGCGCUCGAAUGGGGGAGAAUUAAAAAAGUUAUAGAAUCCAAAUUUUCUGGCCUACGUCUGUUUUUUUUUUUUUUUUUUUUGGUUUUAAAUAAUGAAAUUUUCUUUUUUUUUUUCCUUUUUUUUUAAUUCAUAUUUUUCAGAUUCUAAGUGGUUGGUGAGUGGUGACCAUUGUGUAUUGUGAUUUGUGUUUAUGGAUCAUGCGGUUGGCUUUUUCCAUCAAAGCCUUCGUCGUCAAAGCUGGUCUAUUUAAUAGACAAAGUGGAUCCUUUGGUCGGCCAAAUUGCGCCGUUUACUCAUUAUGUGUAAUGGGGUUAAAUUCUAAUGGCAUUUGUACUUUAACCGUGCCCUCGAACGUAAAUUCCAACAUUUUAAAAAAAAAAACCAAUUUAUUUAUUUAUUAUUAUUAUUUUCAUAUCUCUUGUCUAGUUGUUCAGAUGGAUGGUUGAGAUUAGGUGGAGCUUCAAUUUUCAACCAGAGUUAUUGUGGAUUUAUUAUGAAACUUGUACUCCAAUGUGUGAUGUUAAAGAAUAUUAAGACUAGUAAAAAUUUAAUUUGAGAAAAGCGAUUAUAAAAUUAAAAUAAGUCGCCAUUAAUCAAUAGGAAAGCACCCACAAGACCUAAAUAGGAGGGGGAAAAAAAUGAUUAAUCUUAAUAUAAACUAUUAAACGAUGGCUUCAGUGAGAAGCUAGUAUGUGAUGUGGGCUUACACCUUUCAGUAAAGUGAUUGGUGGUAAUCGUUUGGUGGAAUGGUUAUGGGCCCCAUCAACAUCAAUUAGUUUGUAUGUUUGCUUUAAGGCUAUUUAGUUACUAACUCGUAUUAUGAUUUUAUAAAUUACAUUCCGCAUUUUUCAUUAAUUGAAAUCGGUUGCUUGCCUUAUAGAGAAAUGCUAAUAAAAUUGAAUUAUAUCAAAAUAAACCAACCUUUCAAGCAAAAAAAAUCAAAUGAUUAUCUAUCCAUAUCCAAAUGAUUGGUCAUACAGUUUACGAGCUGUUUUCUUUAAUUGAUCAUUUGAGUCUAAAGUUUAAGAUAAAUAAAUGGUGGUGGAGUCAUUAACAAACAAGGAAAGGUGUCUAAAAAUUCAUAAGACAUUCUCUAUCUACAUACUUGAAAUCACAAAUUUCCCCCCUUGAACUGAUUAAAUACAGUAAAUUUAAGUAAAAAGUUAUUUUAAAAUUACACAAAUUUCGUCUAUUUAUAAUUUAUUAGUCCAAUUGCAUAAUUUAAAUAUCAAACCCUAGCUGUAUGCAUUAAAUAUAAGGCCGUAGAUCUAAUUCGAUAUUUGAUAUGAUUUAACAAAAAAAAAUCCAAUUUAAUGUUAAGAGUAAUGUUAGAGAUCUUGGC